CAGUCGCCACGGUAAUACGGAGGGUGCAAGCGUUAAUCGGAAUUACUGGGCGUAAAGCGUGCGUAGGCGGUUCGUUAAGUCUGAUGUGAAAGCCCACGGCUCAACCGUGGAGGGUCAUUGGAAACUGGAAAACUUGAGUGCAGAAGAGGAAAGUGGAAUUCCAUGUGUAGCGGUGAAAUGCGCAGAGAUAUGGAGGAACACCAGUGGCGGAGGCGACUUUCUGGUCUGUAACCGACGCUGAUGUGCGAAAGCGUGGGGAUCAAACAGGAUUAGAUACCCCGGUAGUCCCUGUCUCUUAUAA
Molecule: ribosomal RNA, 301 nt
Filed under: uncultured bacterium
Lineage: Bacteria
Description: partial 16S ribosomal RNA
Rfam family: Bacterial small subunit ribosomal RNA
Source: RNAcentral